This is a long non-coding RNA of Nothobranchius furzeri (turquoise killifish), 467 nucleotides long. RefSeq lists it as uncharacterized. The record is from RefSeq and is a predicted model, not a curated record. Lineage: Eukaryota; Metazoa; Chordata; Actinopteri; Cyprinodontiformes; Nothobranchiidae.
AGUGCCAAAACCCCUUAAAGUGCAUGUCAAGUGUGCCUCAGAGUCUUACCCCACCCACGUAUCAAUUUUGAAAACUGCAACAUUAGUAGGCGUUGCCUGGAGGACCGAGAGGGCGGAGCCGUGGCAGUGACGAGGAGACGGCUAACUAGACGAAGCUAGCUCCCUUCACUCUGAGCAGUCAUUAGAAGUGGAGGACGUUUCUCCCCCUCCUUACCCAGACACUCGAGAAGAAAGGGACCAAGUCUAUUUGGAGGAGCAACCGGACAUGAGCCUUAUUGUUUUGAGCUUGUGAGUUGCCUGAAAUUACUGGAACCGACCCAACAGACCCAUCUCUGAACGUGAUCCUCUGGUGUCUGCAGCUGGUCUCCUGCUGAUGUCGUCGGGAUCAGGAACUUCCAGAAGAAUGUGCCUUUCAAUGACUCUUUCCCCCUUAUUUGUUAUAUUAAUUAAAUAAAUCUCAAUUUAUA